RNAcentral lists this transfer RNA (79 nucleotides) under Vachellia grandicornuta. RNAcentral describes it as "partial tRNA-His". Lineage: Eukaryota; Viridiplantae; Streptophyta; Magnoliopsida; Fabales; Fabaceae. The record is from RNAcentral.
AUGGAAAUCUCUGUAAUUUUUAGAUAGUAUGAAAUUUUUAGAUAGUAUAAGGGCGGAUGUAGCCAAGUGGAUCAAGGCA